CUUCCCUUCGCCAUGUCUCCUCCAGUCUCUCCUCUAAACUCUAUAAACUACAAUUAAAGCCCCGAAAUCCAAGCUUCCUUCCAGCCGGUUACCUGCAGGACAACUUCCGGGUUCAUGUCCGCUGUCUCCGCCCACAAGAGAGACGCCAUAAUGACUCUUGCAGCCCCAGCGCCGUUUGCCAGUGAGGUCCUUUUCCUCCACACUGACAGGGCAGGGAGCUGUGGUUGCUGCUGAAGGGCCGAGGGGACCAUGUGGCGAGGCGUCCAUCUGGGGUAACCUGAGUAAACGCAGGGUUCAAGUCUCCUCCAGUAGCAUGCUCCUCUUGCCAAGCUGCUGUCUGCAACCCACCGUGUCCACUAUCACCACCUUCAUCUCCAAAUGCGGUCAGUGAGUCAUCUACCAAGCCACACUCAGAAUCACCAGCUUUUAGACAUUUUCAGCAACAGCUGACAUCUCCCUCCCCUGGUAUCUCCCUUCAGUAUACAGACUAUAAUACAACUCUUUGUACUCUUUGUGUAGCGUCUCUGCCUUCUGCAUUUGGGUCAGAACAGAAAGAAAACCUCUUGUGCUUUUCUUUCUGGCAAUGAUGCAGCUUAACGGAUUUAGAUCAGAAAAAUGCUGACACUUGACAUGCAUGUUGUUUGUUUGACCACUGCCUGUUUGGGCUGCAGUGUCCACAUCGACUAAAUCACCAGAUUCUUGUUGGUUAUUUUUAUUUAGUCAUUUUUCAGUCAAAAGAUGAG
Amphiprion ocellaris (clown anemonefish) is the source of this 743-nucleotide long non-coding RNA. NCBI's taxonomy places the organism in Eukaryota, Metazoa, Chordata, Actinopteri, Pomacentridae. The record is from Ensembl.